ACAUUAAGUGCAUAUAAAACACAAAAAUAUAUGCAGGCUCACCAGGAAAGGGUCUCCUAUACUAACUGCCUUUGAAGCAUUUUGAAGAUGCAAUUCAAAUAAUUCUAAAUAUCCUUCAUACUAAUUCGUCCUACAAAAUCAAAUUUCUGUUUGAUAUCCUGACUUCAGAUCCAUCUUCUACUUUUAACUUAUUUCUUCAAAUCUCAGCCUGUUCAAGAUCCACAAGGAAUG
This 231-nucleotide unclassified non-coding RNA is filed under the name Hevea brasiliensis (rubber tree). Lineage: Eukaryota; Viridiplantae; Streptophyta; Magnoliopsida; Malpighiales; Euphorbiaceae. The record is from RNAcentral.